CCUACGGGAGGCAGCAGUGAGGAAUAUUGGUCAAUGGACGAGAGUCUGAACCAGCCAAGUAGCGUGAAGGAUGACUGCCCUAUGGGUUGUAAACUUCUUUUAUAUGGGAAUAAAACAGGGUAUGCAUACCCUCUUGUAUGUACCAUAUGAAUAAGGAUCGGCUAACUCCGUGCCAGCAGCCGCGGUAAUACGGAGGAUCCGAGCGUUAUCCGGAUUUAUUGGGUGUAAAGGGAGCGUAGGUGGAUUGUUAAGUCAGUUGUGAAAGUUUGCGGCUCAACCGUAAAAUUGCAGUUGAAACUAGCAGUCGUGAGUACAGUAGGGGUGGGCGGAAUUCGUGGUGUAGCGGUGAAAUGCUUAGAUAUCACGAAGAACUCCGAUUGCGAAGGCAGCUCACUGGACUGCAACUGACACUGAUGCUCGAAAGUGUGGGUAUCAAACAGGAUUAGAUACCCCAGUAGUC
RNAcentral lists this ribosomal RNA (460 nucleotides) under uncultured bacterium. RNAcentral's name for it is "partial 16S ribosomal RNA". It matches the Rfam family "Bacterial small subunit ribosomal RNA", at positions 338 to 795 of the family's 1533-position model. The record is from RNAcentral.